AACGAACGCUGGCGGCAUGCCUAACACAUGCAAGUCGAACGAGACCUUCGGGUCUAGUGGCGCACGGGUGCGUAACGCGUGGGAACCUGCCCUUAGGUUCGGAAUAACUCCCCGAAAGGGGUGCUAAUACCGGAUAAUAUCUUCGGACCAAAGAUUUAUCGCCUUUGGAUGGGCCCGCGUUGGAUUAGCUAGUUGGUAGGGUAAAAGCCUACCAAGGGGACGAUCCAUAGCUGGUCUGAGAGGAUGAUCAGCCACACUGGGACUGAGACACGGCCCAGAAUCCUACGCGAGGCAGCAGUGGGGGAUAUUGGACAAUGGGCGAAAGCCUGAACCAGCAAUGACGCGUGAGUGAUGAAGGCCUUAGGGUUGUAAAGCUCUUUUACCCGGGAUGAUAAUGACAGUACCGGGAGAAUAAGCACCGGCUAACUCCGUG
Molecule: ribosomal RNA, 433 nt
Filed under: uncultured bacterium
Lineage: Bacteria
Description: partial 16S ribosomal RNA
Rfam family: Bacterial small subunit ribosomal RNA
Source: RNAcentral